RNAcentral lists this transfer RNA (54 nucleotides) under Tityus serrulatus (Brazilian scorpion). RNAcentral describes it as "tRNA-Asn". The record is from RNAcentral. Lineage: Eukaryota; Metazoa; Arthropoda; Arachnida; Scorpiones; Buthidae.
UAACAAGAGCUAAUUUAGUGUUCCAUUGUUGAUGGGAAGGGAAAUUUGUUAUAA